CCUACGGGAGGCAGCAGUGAGGAAUCUUGGUCAAUGGGCGUAAGCCUGAACCAGCCAAGUCGCGUGAGGGAUGAAGGUUCUAUGGAUCGUAAACCUCUUUUAUAAGGGAAUAAAGUGCGGGACGUGUCCCGUUUUGUAUGUACCUUAUGAAUAAGGCUCGGCUAACUCCGUGCCAGCAGCCGCGGUAAUACGGAGGAUCCGAGUGUUAUCCGGAUUUAUUGGGUUUAAAGGGUGCGUAGGCGGCCUUUUAAGUCAGCGGUGAAAGUCUGUGGCUCAACCAUAGAAUUGCCGUUGAAACUGGGAGGCUUGAGUAUGUUUGAGGCAGGCGGAAUGCGUGGUGUAGCGGUGAAAUGCUUAGAUAUCACGCAGAACCCCGAUUGCGAAGGCAGCCUGCCAAGCCACGACUGACGCUGAUGCACGAAAGCGUGGGGAGCAAACAGGAUUAGAUACCCCAGUAGUC
This 460-nucleotide ribosomal RNA is filed under the name uncultured bacterium. Its description in RNAcentral is "partial 16S ribosomal RNA". It matches the Rfam family "Bacterial small subunit ribosomal RNA", at positions 338 to 795 of the family's 1533-position model. The record is from RNAcentral.